CCUGGCUCAGGACGAACGCUGGCGGCGCGCCUAACACAUGCAAGUCGAACGAGAGAGAGGAAGCUUGCUUCCUUGAUCGAGUGGCGAACGGGUGAGUAACGCGUGAGGAACCUGCCUCAAAGAGGGGGACAACAGUUGGAAACGACUGCUAAUACCGCAUAAGCCCACGACCCGGCAUCGGGAAGAGGGAAAAGGAGCAAUCCGCUUUGAGAUGGCCUCGCGUCCGAUUAGCUAGUUGGUGAGGUAACGGCCCACCAAGGCGACGAUCGGUAGCCGGACUGAGAGGUUGAACGGCCACAUUGGGACUGAGACACGGCCCAGACUCCUACGGGAGGCAGCAGUGGGGAAUAUUGCACAAUGGGGGAAACCCUGAUGCAGCGACGCCGCGUGGAGGAAGAAGGUCUUCGGAUUGUAAACUCCUGUUGUUGAGGAAGAUAAUGACGGUACUCAACAAGGAAGUGACGGCUAACUACGUGCCAGCAGCCGCGGUAAAACGUAGGUCACAAGCGUUGUCCGGAAUUACUGGGUGUAAAGGGAGCGCAGGCGGGCGAUCAAGUUGGAAGUGAAAUCCAUGGGCUCAACCCAUGAACUGCUUUCAAAACUGGUCGUCUGAGUAGUGCAGAGGUAGGCGGAUUCCCGGUGUAGCGGUGGAAUGCGUAGAUAUCGGGAGGAACACCAGUGGCGAAGGCGGCCUACUGGGCACCAACUGAAGCUGAGGCUCGAAAGUGUGGGUAGCAAACAGGAUUAGAUACCCUGGUAGUCCACACCGUAAACGAUGAUUACUAGGUGUUGGGAGAUUGACCCUCUCAGUGCCGCAGUUAACACAAUAAGAAAUCCACCUGGGGAGUACGACCGCAAGGUUGAAACUCAAAGGAAUUGACGGGGGCCCGCACAAGCAGUGGAGUAUGUGGUUUAAUUCGACGCAACGCGAAGAACCUUACCAAGUCUUGACAUCCCUUGACGAUGCUGGAAACAGUAUUUCUCUUCGGAGCAAGGAGACAGGUGGUGCAUGGUUGUCGUCAGCUCGUGUCGUGAGAUGUUGGGUUAAGUCCCGCAACGAGCGCAACCCUUAUGGUCAGUUACUACGCAAGAGGACUCUGGCCAGACUGCCGUUGACAAAACGGAGGAAGGUGGGGAUGACGUCAAAUCAUCAUGCCCUUUAUGACUUGGGCUACACACGUACUACAAUGGCGUUAAACAAAGAGAAGCAAGACCGCGAGGUGGAGCAAAACUCAGAAACAACGUCCCAGUUCGGACUGCAGGCUGCAACUCGCCUGCACGAAGUCGGAAUUGCUAGUAAUCGUGGAUCAGCAUGCCACGGUGAAUACGUUCCCGGGCCUUGUACACACCGCCCG
This 1355-nucleotide ribosomal RNA is filed under the name uncultured bacterium. RNAcentral's name for it is "bacterial SSU rRNA". It matches the Rfam family "Bacterial small subunit ribosomal RNA", at positions 18 to 1396 of the family's 1533-position model. The record is from RNAcentral.